This 508-nucleotide ribosomal RNA is filed under the name uncultured bacterium. RNAcentral's name for it is "bacterial SSU rRNA". It matches the Rfam family "Bacterial small subunit ribosomal RNA", at positions 19 to 518 of the family's 1533-position model. The record is from RNAcentral.
AUGGCUCAGGAUGAACGCUGGCGGCGUGCCUAACACAUGCAAGUCGAACGGGACUGUUAGUGACGAUUCGGUCUGAACUUACAGUUAGUGGCGGACGGGUGAGUAACGCGUGGAUAACCUGCCUUCGACAGGGGGAUAGCAGCUGGAAACGGCUGGUAAUACCGCAUACGCGAGAGAUGCCGCAUGACAUCACUCGGAAAGAUUUAUCGGUGAAAGAUGGAUCCGCGUCUGAUUAGCCAGUUGGCGGGGUAACGGCCCACCGAAGCGACGAUCAGUAGCCGGCCCUGAGAGGGCGGACGGCCACAUUGGGACUGAGACACGGCCCAGACUCCUACGGGAGGCAGCAGUGGGGGAUAUUGCACAAUGGGCGCAAGCCUGAUGCAGCGACGCCCGCGUGAGUGAAGAAGUAUUUCGGUAUGUAAAGCUCUAUCAGCAGGGAAGAAAGACCCGCAAGGGGGAUGACGGUACCUGACUAAGAAGCCCCGGCUAACUACGUGCCAGCCGCGGC